RNAcentral lists this small nucleolar RNA (88 nucleotides) under Genlisea aurea. Its description in RNAcentral is "small nucleolar RNA snoR116". It matches the Rfam family "small nucleolar RNA snoR116". The record is from Rfam by way of RNAcentral. Lineage: Eukaryota; Viridiplantae; Streptophyta; Magnoliopsida; Lamiales; Lentibulariaceae.
UGGCGAUGAUGUUGAACAUUUUAUACCAUCAAACGAUGAAAGCCUGUUAAAUCGGCUUGUUGAUGUUCAGUUAUCAAUCUCUGAGCCU